UACGGAGGGUGCAAGCGUUGUCCGGAUUUAUUGGGUUUAAAGGGUGCGUAGGCGGCCUAUUAAGUCAGUGGUGAAAGGUAUCAGCUUAACUGAUGACGUGCCAUUGAAACUGACAGGCUUGAGUACAGACGAGGUAGGCGGAAUUUAUGGUGUAGCGGUGAAAUGCAUAGAUACCAUAAAGAACACCAAUUGCGAAGGCAGCUUACUAGACUGUAACUGACGCUGAGGCACGAAAGCGUGGGGAGCGAACAGGAUUAGAUACCCUCGUA
This 269-nucleotide ribosomal RNA is filed under the name uncultured prokaryote. RNAcentral's name for it is "partial 16S ribosomal RNA". It matches the Rfam family "Bacterial small subunit ribosomal RNA", at positions 524 to 792 of the family's 1533-position model. The record is from RNAcentral.